This is a non-coding RNA of Vicia faba (fava bean), 261 nucleotides long. Lineage: Eukaryota; Viridiplantae; Streptophyta; Magnoliopsida; Fabales; Fabaceae. The record is from the annotation of a GenBank genome assembly.
UAUUUUGUCUUGAGUUUACGUCAGACGAUGUUGAUGCUCCGUGCAUGUUCAUAUUGUCUUCUAUCUCUUACCUCGAUUAUUGAUAUCUUGGUUAGGUGCGUAGUCGCUUUAGACAUCCACUUCCCCACUCUCUUUACUUCUUGCCUUGAUGAUACGAUACUUUGGUUAAGAGUAGCUUUCAUUACCCCUUCUUUCCUAGAUGAUGAGGUAUAUAUGGUCAGGAAUCCCCCCCUUUACCUACCUCAAUAUUUGAUAUCUUAG